CCCUGAUGCUGAUAAUACUCCACCUUGGACGGUCCAGUCCCCGGGCAGAGACGUCCUGUGCUCCGACACUUUGGGCAGGACGUGAAUGCUCCCUGAAAUGGUCUCGGAUGCUUUCCUGGCCAAAGCGAAGAUAGGAGCCUGCCAUCGCCCGUCUCCUCCACCACCACCUCCUCUCACCGUGCUGCUACUGUUAACGCUAGCUUUCUCUCCAACACCAGAUUUCUCCUCCUGCAGCCUCAAAAUGCCAAACACCUGCGCUUUCUCCUUGCUGCUGUCCGCUUCAGACAGAGCCAGGUCGUGCUCUGCGGGCGAAGCCAUGUUCACGGACCUCUGAAAUGAUUAUAGCCAGUGCUUGUCGGUGCGAAAACACACAAAUUCAUACGGUUUGCUAACCGUUAACGAGCUAGCCUUGAUGUACAAUUCACCCGGUGACCAUUGUGACAACCGUGGCACAAAAAUACCUGCGAUACCACCGGCCAAAGCAAUGACAGGGCUCGCUCGAGUCAACAACCAACCGUCGUCAACGUCCCCGGACUGUGAAGCGUAGGCGUCGGUCUACAUGGUGGACGUCGGGGGCGCGGACAGCUGCUCCGUUCAUCGCGGCGUUGUAAAGAUUUGUUUACACCCUGCAGACCUAACCGAUAGUUGGCUACGGUCCCGCUGCACCCUCCGGAGGGGCGGUGUCAAAAGGCUCACAAGACACACAAAAGGCAGCACUACCGUUACGUAAUGAUUUUAGCGGCUGCUGUGUUGUGGACUUGCCGCCCUCUGCUGCUGGACGUGAGAACUGCACGGCCCCCCUCCAGCAGAAGUGAACUGCAGACAGGAGAGUUGCUUUUUGCUGCUUCUGCAUACGUUUACGACUGGUGACUCUGGUGGCUCACUCUUGACUCAUGGAAAGGUAUUAUCUGUAAUGAGCGGUGGAGACUCUGAGGGGAGUACAUGGUGUGGGACUCUCCUUUGCCUUGUUGCAACGAGGAUGGUAAAUCAAGCAGAUCCCUGAGUCCUGAAGUGGCUCGCUGUAGGCUGGUUUCUGUUGAGCUGGAGCCACACAGUCAAGUUUCUUUGGAACCAGAUGACCCUUCCCCCUGAACUGCUGUGGACUGUUUUGUCUUUUUCUAAUAUGGUAUUUUCCAGUUUGGUCAGAUUAGGUCACAGUCUCAGGGUGUGCUGGGCCUCUGCUGAGCUGAGCAGGACAGCCUGGGACAAAACAGACAGCGGAGACAGACCUAAUAAGAUCUUAGAAGCAGGAAGAUAACAGAAGAGAGCGAAAACAAACGUCAUCAUCGACACACAGUGAAUACAAAAGCUUUUGGUAUGCAUGCUCUUGUCUUCUGUACACCAAACAAGGAUAACAUCCCUGGCUGGACUCAUGCCAGGUACAGGUGGUACACAACGGCUGUACCACCAGGAUGCCCAGAUAUGCACGAUGUUGAGAUGGAUAAGAAUCUUGAAAGACAACUAACCAUUUACAUUUUAAGCCUUGUUCCAGACGUAUAAUUGAUGAAUAAAACAAAACAAAAUGGCUUCUCAGUCUGAUUAUCAGGCUACUACAUUGCCCCAAAGUUUUAUCCCUGUCUACAGUCUCUGUCACAGACAAUUACAUCUUUGCCUCCCAUUCCUCCUCACCGAUUCAAACAAACACCACUCACAUCUACGCCACAGGAUGAGACCUUUAACUGUCAUAAAUAAUAAAUGCCAAAAGGUUCUUCCCUCAGAUAGUUUACUAAACGCUAACCAAUCUUAAUUUAGUGUGAAAAUAGUACAGUCACCGAAAAUUGACAUUUUGUUUACCAAAUAGAAGGAGCUUUACCUUUUUUCAAGUAGCUUAUGAGGAAUGAGUCCUGUGGGCCUCCACCUCACCAUAAUAUGGCUGUAAAAGCCUCCAACCACACCAAGGGAAGAAUGUUAGAUCCAUUAAAACACACAACAAGAGAAAGUGUUGCAGCAGUAAACUGCAUUACAAGCAUUACUGAUAUUUCCUCUCUUGCUCUUAUUCUCAUCCUCUGUUUGCCACACUCUCUCUCUCUCUGUCUCUCUAAUAGCUCAGGGCUGACCAGAGAUCAUAUGACUUGCAGAUCUGUACACUCCUUAGCUGCCUGUGUUAAUUCUCUGAAUGGCUGUUUCUCAGUCCAGUAAGCAGAGCAUUCAUAAUCGGACUGCUGCUGCCUUGAUGGUGAUUUGCUUUUCUUUUGUU
Micropterus dolomieu (smallmouth bass) is the source of this 2197-nucleotide long non-coding RNA. RefSeq lists it as uncharacterized. The transcript is spliced from 3 exons. The record is from RefSeq and is a predicted model, not a curated record. Lineage: Eukaryota; Metazoa; Chordata; Actinopteri; Centrarchiformes; Centrarchidae.